Astyanax mexicanus (Mexican tetra) is the source of this 1125-nucleotide long non-coding RNA. RefSeq lists it as uncharacterized. Lineage: Eukaryota; Metazoa; Chordata; Actinopteri; Characiformes; Acestrorhamphidae. The record is from RefSeq and is a predicted model, not a curated record. The transcript is spliced from 6 exons.
UAACGUUACAUGUAACACCGGAUUAUUACUGUUAUUAUUGCGAUAACUCCAAAGUCUGGAUUUUAGAUGAUUUUUAAGAAAUGUAGGUUAAGUGACAAUAACAUUCAGUCACUCACUUUGCAAUUCUGACGAUCAAGCUAGGGUGUAUUUUACUCUCAACAUGCCUGUUGCUCCUAAGGCCAUAUAUGAAAUACAGUAUAGAGGUGUAAAAAGGGGGUUAACCUCUUAACACGCCCUGGCCCGCCGGCGGGCCAGAAAAAUAUCAUAUUUAAUAUCUGGCUGUGUUUAUGAAUACUUAUAGGUUCAAUAUAGACACCCAAUAUGCCAUUUUAAAUCUUUUCAGUUAUCUAGCCUAUUUAGCCGUAUCUCCUUUCAGAAAAUAAACAUUUAGGGCGAAAUAUGCCUAGUUUAUGAAAGUUAUGAAAUUAUCUUCAUGCUUUAGAUUCCAUUUGUGUUUUUAUUCGAACUCUUCUGAGCUCGUGAGUGGCAGCAGCAGCGGCGACUCUUCGACGGAAGGACACUCUACAACUCUUAAACACCAUUUUACUGUUUUAUAUUCACUGUUUUAAUAUCUGUAUUAUCUUUUAAUUACUGUAUAAUUGUAUUAUCCUUACUGUUUUUCACUUUUUGCUAAUUAAUUGUAUUUUUGUUUUUCAUUUUACUGUAGCCGCUGAGGGAGCUCACCCCCAUACCGAUCAGGUAUGGAUCCCCAGUGGAGGAGCAGAACUCUUCCAACAGUGGUGCAGUCAGGAGACUUUUCUUUCAGGACUGGUCCUGUGUCUGUGUGGCAGGGUGAAGAGCCAGCCGCCUGGGAGGAGCCCCCGCCGUGUCAGCCCGGGUCUCUCGAGAUGAAGCGGAGGGCCCACAUUAAAAUGCUGAGAAAAGCACAAUAAACAAUUAAAGUUGGAUAGAAGGUCAGCUGGAGGGACUCCUGCCCACCUCCCACCCAGAGUCUCCAUUGCUUUCAACCACACCUGCAAGGUAUGGCUGCAAGACUCUGGUGGCGAUUGCGGAGGCAGAACCCUGGAACAGGCUGGACACUACUGGUACAGUUGCACAGUGUGAGGAAGCCCGGAUCCCGUCCCUCACCACCACCUACCCCCCGGAGACUUUCAGCCAGUAAGA